GACGAACGCUGGCGGCGUGCUUAACACAUGCAAGUCGAACGGAAAGGCCCUGCUUUUGUGGGGUGCUCGAGUGGCGAACGGGUGAGUAACACGUGAGUAACCUGCCCUUGACUUUGGGAUAACUUCAGGAAACUGGGGCUAAUACCGGAUAGGAGCUCCUGCUGCAUGGUGGGGGUUGGAAAGUUUCGGCGGUUGGGGAUGGACUCGCGGCUUAUCAGCUUGUUGGUGGGGUAGUGGCUUACCAAGGCUUUGACGGGUAGCCGGCCUGAGAGGGUGACCGGCCACCUUGGGACUGCGAUAGGGCCCAGACGCGUACGGGAGGCAGUAGGGGGGAAUCUUGCACAAUGGGAGGGAGCGUGUUGCGGCAGCGCUGCGUGCGGGAUGACGGCCUUCGGGUUGUAAACAGCUUUCGCCUGUGACGACGCGUUAGUGACGGUAAUGGGAAAAGAAGCACCGGCUAACUUCGUG
RNAcentral lists this ribosomal RNA (468 nucleotides) under uncultured bacterium. Its description in RNAcentral is "partial 16S ribosomal RNA". It matches the Rfam family "Bacterial small subunit ribosomal RNA", at positions 28 to 507 of the family's 1533-position model. The record is from RNAcentral.